AAGACCGGGCAGAUAAGCAUACGCAAGAGUCUGGAUGACCAAGACUUUAACAGACUUCCGCCAAAUAUGAGCCCGCCAUCGACAACACGAGCAGGAAAAGAGUGGCAAAGUGAUGAAAACGAAGAUCCCGAAGCUAAUUCAGCCAGAAAAUGGAUAGUGAUGAUGGAACUAAGGAAACUUUAAAUUGCUGAAAUAAAACAAGAAAAAAGAAAUUCAAGCCGAAAACAAGAAUCAAUAAUAACCUCAAACCAGCAAUCUUUGAAAAUGCAAGAAUGUAGAACCCAGCAGUAAUUAAUUGCCAGAGUCCUGUGGUUCAAAUGUUCCAGUACCCGUCAGCAACACUUCUGUACCUAGCAGUAUGCUUAAGACACACCUGUACCAGUCAGCAACUUGAAAGAAUCCUGCUAUACUCGUGUGUUUGUGCCAUACAAUAACUCAAUUGUACUUAACGGUCAAGAUGUGUUAACCUCUGUCAGCAACACCUCAGAGCCUUGCAGUUACAAUAAGCCUGUGCGAGUAAGCAACUCGAAAGAACCCUAGUGUCAUACUUGUGUGCUUGUGUCAAAUAACAAAAUUUAGAAUGUAAUUCUUUGAGAUUUUGGAUCAACUCAAAGGAGAAUAUAUAAACAUGAUUUGCUGUGGUUCGGAAUUAUCAUAGUGCUUAACAGUAAUCUUAUUACAGUUUAUUUCUAGUCAUCAUGCUCUAUUGUUUUGAAAUAUUAAUUAAGCUCUGAUUUUAAUUAUAUAAUUUUACCUAAAUUCAAAUCUUUGUCAGAAAUUACAUUAUUUUGCUUUAUACAUAUCUAUACACAUGGGAAAAUAGCAGUCAGAAUUCCAAAGAUAAUGAUUUUUACAUAAACAUGUAUCUGUUGUUUAUGUACGUUGCAUUCUGUUCCUAUGAUAUAUUUUUGAUGUAUGAAUUUCAAAAGCCUAUUGAUGGAAUUUCCAUUCUUAUGUUCUGAUCAUGUUUUGUUAAAAGUGUUUGGAAAAGUUUUGAUUAUAUUUUGUUACAUACGAUUUAAUAGUAUUUUACUUGAGAUCUCAUGUAACAAAACAUUUUCAAAACACUAUUUUGAUAGUAUUGUGAAACAAUGUUUUGUUAGUAUUUUAUUGAUAUUUUGUUACCUCAUUUGCAUAUGGUUUUCAAAAACUACUGCAGUAUUUUGAUGAUAUUUUGAAAGAACGUUUUGUUAGUAUUUUGUUGACGUUUUGUUACCUCAUUUGCAUGUGAUUUGCUGUACUAUUAAAACGUCUUCAAAACGCAACAAA
Molecule: long non-coding RNA, 1269 nt
Organism: Ostrea edulis (European flat oyster)
Lineage: Eukaryota; Metazoa; Mollusca; Bivalvia; Ostreida; Ostreidae
Exons: 3
Source: RefSeq, a predicted model, not a curated record